UUGAAUAUUAAUAGAUAUGUUCUUUAAAGUCAAAGAAUUUGGCGGUAUCUUAGUCUUGUUAGAGGAACCUGUUCUUUAAGCGAUAAAACACGUAGUAUCUUACUUAUUUUUGUUAAAUUUUAGUUUGUAUACCGUCAUUAUUAAAUAAUUUUGAGAGAGUUAAUUAUUGAGGUUAAUAGUUUGGAUUGCGUAUAUUAGAUCAAGGUGCAGCUUAUAGAUAAGUAGUAAUGGGUUACAAUAAUAUUUAUUUAGAACGGACUAUAGGUAGAAUUAUUUAUAGGUAAGGUGGAUGUAAUUGUAAAAAUAGUUUAAUAAGUUAUUUUGGUAUAGGCUCUAAAUUAUGUACAUAUCGCCCGUCACUUUCAUUUAAAAUGAAAUAAGUCGUAACACA
Molecule: ribosomal RNA, 391 nt
Filed under: Thymops birsteini
Lineage: Eukaryota; Metazoa; Arthropoda; Malacostraca; Decapoda; Nephropidae
Description: partial 12S ribosomal RNA
Source: RNAcentral